GCACGGGCCUGCCUCGCGCCCUGCGCGCUGGGCACUGCGCCCUGGCGGGGCAGCACCCCCAGUUCCCCGGCCUGCGGGAUGUGGCGCUCUCUGUGGACCUCACUCCUGGCCAAAUACGCUGCGGUAAGCGAGAGGUUGUGCUGAGCAGGGGAUCAGAGCGACUUUCUACCCGGGAAGAUGGAAGAAAGCUUUACAAUUACUUCAGCUCUUUUGAGGGAAUUGGAGGCUUCCAAGACCACUUUGACUGGUGGGCCAGAAAUCAGUUCUCUUCCCAGGGUGGAAAGCCCCUGUGGAUAGACCCUCAUGAUCCCAGUGUUCAACACAUUUUUAUUGAUGACAACAUCCGGCUGGAUGACACAGACACCAUUGUUCACCCCCAGGUGUUUUCAGAGCGGGGCAGCAGCAGCCCUCGGUGUGCUCCCACUUCAGAGCUGUAUGAUAUUUGCCUGGUGCAGACCCAUCUCCUGGAGGCCAUUGCUGAUGAGAACUAUUUCCUCCGCUGUGUGCAGAGGUGUGAGGAGAACUAUGACCGUUACCUGGCCUGCGUGGAGAAUGGCUCCCCGAGCCAGCUCUGGGACGGACAGUGACAUCACUUCAAGGGCCCAGCCCCAACCUGGGCUGUGGGGCUUAAAACUGGGAUGCUCCUUCCUUGCCGCCCCACACAGAUAAAGUCCCAGGCUGGGCUACUGCUUCGAGCUGUCCCCUCUCCUCUCCAACGCGUGAUGCGCCCGCUCUGUUGUACCAGGAACCUCCAGGCCCUCUCCACAAAACACAAGCGUCCUGGGAGCUUGUGUGAUGGGAUCCCUGGGAAGAAACUGCUUCCGCUGGGGUCCUUUCCUCAGCUGUGCUGUGAAGAGCUGUCUGCCACACUGGAGCCCCUCUGCCGGCAGUGCUACCUCUUGUGUCUGCUCUUACGCUGGGGUGGAGGCCCUGCGCCAGCCCCGACUGCUACCGCAGCACAAGCAGUCGUGCUGGUGUUCAGGCCUCCCCUGUUACUCCUGCCUCCUGCAGUGGCAGCUGGUUUGGAGUCGGUGCCACUGGGAAGUGCAGUGCUGCCUGCGGUGCCUGUUACUGGUUGCUCUACGGUGUCCUCCCUAGCAGAGCUAGUGAUUUGAUGUCACUUACAGCUGUUUUUAAAGCAAAUCUUUCUAGCUUGUUUUU
Molecule: non-coding RNA, 1161 nt
Organism: Struthio camelus australis
Lineage: Eukaryota; Metazoa; Chordata; Aves; Struthioniformes; Struthionidae
Source: RefSeq, a predicted model, not a curated record